AUUGGGCAUCUUGGAGUCUGGAUCGGAGGGGGAAUUGUUGAUCUGGAAUGGAGGGACAAGGCAUAUGAAGGGCAUGUCAGGGAAUGGUCGAGCAUGUGGGUCAGGGCUGGAGCACUCUGGUGGCAAGGAAGGGGGUAUCUGGGUGUGAAUCGAGGUAAUGGUGUAUGUUUGUCUGGAGAGAAGGAUGUUGGUUUAUUGGAGUGGUGGGAGCAUGUGUGUGUCAAAGGGAUGGGGUAAUCGGGUGCGGGUAUAGAGAGAGGGCGAAUGGCACCAUCUGAGUGGGAAUCUGGAGGUAGAGGUGAAGCAUAUGGGUGUGGCUCUGAGGGGUGGAGCAUCUUGGUGUAGGUAUGGAGGGACGGAUGUUGGUGUCUUUGUGUCGGUUCAGAUGGGAGGAUGGUGGCAUGUGGGUCAGGAGAGUGGUGGCAUUUGAAUCUGGAAUCUGUGUUUGGAAGGAGAAAUGGGGCAUCGAGUGUGAAUGGUAUUUGCUUGUGACUGGGGGCAUGAAGCAUCAUUAACAGCGGAGCAGCAGGAGGGAGAGCCGUGGGCCUGACCUCGGUUGCAUCCCAGACGUGCACACCCACAGCCCUCCACCUCUCGCAGAGCGGUCCGAUGCGCAUGGUAAACCAUGCACCAGGGAGCAGGGAUUUCCUUCCACCGGAGAGGGGUCCGCAACCCAGCAGGUGGCCAGGGAUGCCUGGCAGGGUUGGGUUAACCUGCUGGGGAUGUCCCCAACCACGCACCGGAAAGGGAGCCCUUUGCAGCCCCCUCUCCUCACUGAGCCUGCCUCUGCGCUGGCCGGGGGCGUGCACUCCUCUCUCUGACCUGCCAGCGGGUGGGCAUUGGUGGGCACAUCCCGGUCAGCAGGGAAGCCCCGAGUGAGGGCAGCUGUGAGCCGAGGGAAACCUGACUGCUCUCGAGGGGCGCCUCCCCAAGCAGACAGGGGCCCGGCACGCCAGGCAUGAGCCAUGGUGCAGCUGGUUUGCUCGACGGUGGGCGCCAAGGUUCCAGCCGCCCACAUCUGUGCGCCGCUGGCACAGUGGGUGACCUUCCCUCUUGCCCAGGUACCUGGAGCUGGGCCCUAUGCGGACGGGCUGGGGUUUGAAGACUAGCGGUCCCACGCGACCCCCUGUCUGUGCUGUCUCUGGCCCGCCUCGCUGUCCGUCUCCCAGCCCCCGUGCCCAAAAGGGAGCGGAAGUGGUCAGGGAUGGAUGAGUGGAUCGUGCCGGGUGGGCAGGUGGCAGAGCUGCCUACCUCCAUCCUCCUGGGAAGCGCUGUGCUGCUGCAGGUGGCGGUCAGGCUGAGCACCUGAAUUUUUUUUUUCAUUUUUUUUAACCACAAUGGUUUCGGCCGAGCUAGACUGGGCGCUGGGCUGUCCCCCACAGGCGGCGCUGCCUCUCCUGCACCGGCAGGGUCAGGCCGACAUCAGGAAAAAAAAAAAAAGUUGCCUAUGACUCUUGGCGGUGGAUCACUUGACUCGUGCAUCGAAGAAGAACGCAGCUAGCUGCGAGAAUUAGUGUGAAUUGUAGGACACAUUGAUCAACACUUCGAACACACCAUGUGGGUUUUUCCUGGGGGGUCGCUUGUACAUCACUUGCCCCGGGGUUCCCUCCCAGGGCCGUGGCUGGGGAUGUUGCAGGGACCCCAUUCCAUUCAUCCCCCUAAAAUCAGACCCCGAUCAGCACUGUCGCUGGAUCCUUGGAUCUGGCGCGCACGCUCAUUGCCGACGCAUCCUGGCCAACCCAGUUUCCCCACCUAAUGCUAGUUUCGGGAGGCCGGCGUACCAUGGCUGGAUGAGGCGUCUUACCCCUCAGGGGGGCAACGCUGCCUUUGGAUGCGAGCCGGGCCCUUCCUGUGGAUCAUCCCAGCUGCAGUGUUCGCUUCUCCCGUUCCCCCUCCUGGGGUUCAGGCCCGGCAUUCUGCCUCGGCCGACACCUAGCAGCUGACUUGGAACUGGUGCGACCAGGGGAAUCUGACUGUUUAAUUAAAACAAAGCAUUGCAGAGGCCCGUGGAGGGUGUUGACGCAAUGCGAUUUCUGCCAAGUGCUCUGAAUGUCAAGUGAAAAAAUUCAAUGAAGCGUGGGUAAACGGCUGAGGUAACUAUGACUCUUAAGGUAGCCAAAUGCCUCGUCAUCUAAUUAGUGAUGUGCAUGAAUGAAUGAAUUGAGAUUCCCACUGUCCCUACCUACUAUCUAGCGAAACCACAGCCAAGGGAACAAGCUUGGCAGAAUCAUCAGGGAAAGGAGACCCGGUUGAGUUUGACUCUAGUCUGGCACUGUGAAGAGACAUGAGAGGUCGGAUAAGUGGGAGGCCCUUGGGCCGCUGGUGAAAUACCACUACUCUUAUCGUUUUUGCACUUACCCGGUGAGGUGGUGGGCAAGCCCCACGGGGCUCUCGCUUCUGGCUCCAAGCACCCGGCACCUGCCAGCCACGACCCGCUCCGGGGACAGUGGCAGGUGGGGAGUUUGAUUGGGGUGGUACACCUGUCAAAGGAUAACACAGGUGUCCUAAGGCGAACUCUGGGUGGACAGAAACCUCCCGCGGAGCAGAAGGGCAAAAGCUAGCUUGAUCUCGAUUUGUUUUUUUGUUUUUUAAUUUUUUUUUCAGUAUGAAUACAGACCGUGAAAGCAGGGCUUCACGGUCCUGCUGACUUUUUGGGUUUCAAGCAGGAGAGGUCAGAAAAGAUAUCACAGGGAUAACUGGCUUGUGGCGGCCAAGCCUUCAUAUCGACGUCGCUUUUUGAUCCUUCGAUGUCGACUCUUCCUACCAUUGUGAAACAGAAUUCACCAAUCGUCGAUUGUUCACCCACUAAUAGGGAACGUGAGGUGGAUUUAGACCGUCGUGAGACAGGUUAGUUUUACCCUACUGUUGAUGGGUUGUUGCAAUAAUAAUCCUGCUCAGUACUAGAGGAACCGCAGGUUCAGACAUUUGGUGUGCAUGCUUGGCUGAGGAGCCAAUGGGGCAAAGAUACCAUCUGUGGGAUUAUGACUGAGCGCCUCCAAGUCAGAAAUCCACCCCCAGACCUUGAUACCGCAGCGCUGUCUAGCAUUGGUUGGCUUAGGAUAGCCGGCCUCGGGGCCGGUGUGUAAAGCCGCUUGCCUCGGGACUUGAGUGUGGACAGAAGGGGGCCACCUCUCUCACCCGUAGUGCACCACAUGU
This 3156-nucleotide ribosomal RNA is filed under the name Ambystoma mexicanum (axolotl). Its description in RNAcentral is "eukaryotic LSU rRNA". The stretch from base 1754 to 3156 matches the Rfam family "Eukaryotic large subunit ribosomal RNA", at positions 1891 to 3279 of the family's 3401-position model. Lineage: Eukaryota; Metazoa; Chordata; Amphibia; Caudata; Ambystomatidae. The record is from RNAcentral.